This is a long non-coding RNA of Symphalangus syndactylus (siamang), 12295 nucleotides long. RefSeq lists it as uncharacterized. The record is from RefSeq and is a predicted model, not a curated record. NCBI's taxonomy places the organism in Eukaryota, Metazoa, Chordata, Mammalia, Primates, Hylobatidae.
CGGAGUCUCAGAGUCUUGCUGUGUCACCCAGGCUGGAGUGCAGUGGUGUGAUCUCAGCUUACUGUAACCUCUGCCUCCCAGGUUCAAGCGAUUCUCCUGCCUCAGCCUCCCGAGUAUCUGGGAUUACAGACUACACCAUCAUACCCAGCUAAUUAUUUUUUUUAAUUUUUAAUUUUUUUUAGACAGAGUCUCACUCUGUUGCCUAGGCUGGAGUGCAGUGGCAUGAUCUCGGCUUACUGCAACCUCCGCCUCCCGGGUUCAAGCGAUUCUCCUGCCUCAGCCUGCCAAGUAGCUGGGACUACAGGCACGUGCCACCACACCCGGGUGAUUUUUCUAUUUUUAGUAGAGACGGGGGUCUCACCAUGUUGGCCAGGCUGGUCUCAAACUCCUUAUCUCAGGUGAUCCGCCCGCCUUGGCCCUCCAACUCUGUGCUGGAGUUACAGAUAUGAGCCAUUGCGUCUGGCCAGGCCGCCUUUUAAAUUAGGAACCAGGAGCAUGGCCUGAAAAAAUGAUUGUUUUGGUGCCCCGACCCCACGAGGGAGUGGGGGACUGAGACCCCCAUCAGGCCACUGAGCAGGGGAGCCAGGACAGCUUGGCGGUCACACCCCUGAGGUCUGGGUGCAGCGCGGGAAGUCUGGGUCCCUUCUAGGAUCUCUGGGCCACUAGUCCAGCUGUGGGGACAGUGCCCGAAGCCCCUGCCCCACUGACUGGGGAUCCGGAAAAAGGGUGCCACCUCCCCACCCCAGGCAUCUACUUUGCUUAAUGGGGGUUGAGCCCAAAGAGAUGCUAUUGAGCAUCUAACACAACUAUUGUCACUUUUCUGGCCACUUUUCCACAUCAAACUCAUUCUUUUGGUCAAGUGGGAAUAGAAAUCAGGGAAAGUUGUGGGGAAAGUCAUUUUGAGUAAACAGAUUCAAAAGCGCUCGACAGCCCCUCGGCGGCUCCGCUCCGAAUAACCACACCGCGGUGGGCAGGUUUCGGAGCGGAGGCCGGGUGGAGACCCUCCACCAGCUGCAAAAACCAGCGGAGUGGGCGGCUCCGCCAAGCAGAGGACCCAGCGCAGGCGUCGCAUUUCGCUCUUCAACCUCCAGGUGGCGCUAGCGGGGGCGGAGCGCGUAUUUGCAUUGGGGGCGGAGCUUCAGAAAUGCUGACUGUUGAAUGGCUGGGCUCAGUCUCGCUUUCUUUUCGCCUUCCUGGCAGGGCUAGGGAGGGGACCCAGUCCCGGUGCCUGAGCUGCGCAAGAGGAAACGUGUGUGUGGGAGGGUGACAUGGGGGACGGGGUUGGCUCACUUGACACAGAAAGAGAACAUUUGUGGCAUGGCCCCCGGGUGUGUUCACUCCUCAAGGACAAUCUUGAUUUCCUGGUUUUUGUUUCUUUUUUAAUAAAGGCAAUUUGUUAAGUGUAUAAUUGUGUUUUCCAUUUAUCAUUCCUUUAUAAGACAUCUCAUAAAUUUACACACCAGGAAAAAUCCUUGGUGGGACCUGUUGAUAAUAAAGACAUCGUUUAUUUACAAAAGAACGAAGGUGAGGACCUUCUAGACCUCCCUUUUUCGUUUUCUUGGUCUCUAAAUGUUGUGUGUGUAUUACCAAUAUAACUAUCUGUGGCUGUAUUUUAUUUGCACAUAAAAUCUAACAACUGACUGUUAAGCUUCCGCUAUCUGGCAGGCAUUGGGUGGGGUUUCUCUUAGUCAAGAGUGAGGAAAAAAAGAGGGGGAGCUCGUGGACAGGUAGGACAGGCGGCAGACAGGAUCCAGGCUGUGCACGGGGAACACUUAAGAACUCUGCCAUAAGCACCGAAGAAGAAGUGGAGCCACAGGGAGACGAGCGGGGAAUUUAGAGGAAGUGGGGCCCGAGGGCAGCGGAGCAGAGCCGCUAGCUCAAAAAGCGCAGUGCUGAAGUCACAUUGAUGUCAUCGCAGAAGCCCAGAGGAGCUAAGGAGAGGUGAGAUGUUGGGGGAUUCCCUAGGGCACCUGGAGUGGGCCCCUGGCCUUUUGUCCGGUUGGUGGGGAGGAAAGCAUUGGAGAGUGUAACUUCCAGAAUAUUUCCUUUUUGCUUCCGGAUAGAAAGCCAUCUCUGGGGCCAGGCGUGGUGGCUCACGACUGUAAUUUUAGCACUUUGGGAGGCUGAGGCGGGUGGAUCACGAGGUCAGGAGUUCAAGACCAGCCUGGCCAACAUGGUGAAACCUCGUCUCUACUCAAAAUAUAAAAAUUAGCUGGGUAUGGUGGCGGGCGCCUGUAAUCCCAGCUAGUUGGGAGGCUGAGGCAGGAGAAUGGCUUGAAUCUGGGAGGCAGAGGUUGUGGUGAGCCGAUCACACUACUGUACUCCAGCCUGGGUGACAAAGUGAGACUCCGUCGAAAAGAAAAAAAAAAAGAAAUAUUUGCUAAGUGAAUAAGGGAAGCAGAUGCUUCUCGAUUGGUCGAGAAAGCUCCCUCUAGGAGCCUGCACAGAGCCCAAUAUCUCUGGCAAACGAUAAUUUGUUCAGAGAGGGCUCUCUUUAGUGUAGGGGAAAGUAGCCCCUUUGCCCCGGGAGAAAAUUGUGACAAGACCUUGGUGUUUCAAGGGCUUGAAAAAACUGCCCACCCACUGAGGGGGCAAGCAAGUUGCAAGUGUGUGUAUACCUGGUGGUGAGAGUGAGAUCCGCGAGGUGGUCCUCCCCAUCCUGUCCUGGUCCUUACCUGCCAUUCCAAGACCAGCCUCCACCCCAGAAGCAGAUUUUCCCAUGACUUGAGGGCUACAGUCUGGGCAGAGAUUUGGCUCAGGGCCCUGCACUCCACCCCUUGACCUCUUUAAGUGGCCCUUUACGUGUCUGGGCAGGGGAGACAAAUCAGCGCCCCAAGCCUGAGUACCCGUGCCAGGCCUGGGGAGAUCCUCAGCCAUCUGGCACUGGGCGUGGGGCUUGGGCCCUGGCAGCACCAGGUUCCCUCGUCCCCAUCACUGUAGCCUUUCGCCUAUGAGUCCAGGUAGGGUCUGGCUAGUGCAGCUCAGUGUGGCUUGACCCACAGUGCCCAGUGGAUGGUGCAGACACUAGUGUCAGAGGAAGAAAGGAAAGCAACCAUUAUUACUCAUUUGCUAUGUGCUCAGCCCUGCUCCAGGUGUCUUACACGUUUUAAUAUAAUCCUUAGAACAACUAAAUAGGUUGGAAUUAUCUUCAUUUUAUAGAUGCAGAGAAUAAGGCAGUGACCUGAAGUCACUCGAGAAAGGAGCAGCGUCAGGAUUCAAAUGAAGAGUUUGACUCUUCGUCGAUAGUGGGAAGUGAUGGAGCAUCAGAGCCCAACAGACAGAUGGGGUUUCUCCUUUCUAACUACAUGAGGACGCCGACCUCUUCAGGCCCUGUUCCCCUGGGAAUCGAUAACAUCACAUCACAGUUUUGCUGAGCAGAUGACACUAAGAUCACACAGUGAUGGCGGAAGGCAGGAAGAUAAGCUGGACUCCUUGAAGCCGACACCCCCCAGGGAAAUUCCGUCACCCGCCUUGAGCACUGUAGACCGGGCUAGGAUAGGGCUUUGCCCUGUUACCCAGGCUGGAAUGCAGUGGCGUGACUAUGGCUCACUGCAGCCUUAAACUCCUGGGCUCAAGCAAUCCUCCCGCCUCUGCCUCCAAAGCAGCUGGGACUACAGGUGUGCACUACCACAUCCGGCUAAUUUAUUUUUUGUAGAGAUGGGGUCUUGCUAUGUUGCCUAUGCUGGUCUCGAACUCCUGGCAUCAAGUGAUCCCCCUGCCUCAGCCUCCUAAAGUGCUGAGAUUACAGGCGUGAACCACUAUGCCCAGCCUAGUCUGACCUUUUGGCGUCCAUGCCACAUAUGUCAUUCUCAUCAACUCAUUGGCACUGCUGUCCACUUCCUCCCAGGCCUAGCUCAGACUCACUAGAUGAUUUCAGAAUCUGCAGAAUCUUCUUCCUCUUCUCCCAGUUUCUUCCUCAGCAAUUUCGGGGCCCUUGCUCACAAAUUCCUUGCCCCCUGAGACUCUAAAGACCACCCUGUCUUAGCCACACCUGCCCCUAUGGGCCAAGAACGCUCCAGACCCACUGUCCCAUAGGUUGGUUUCCCUCUCUUGUCACAGCUUCCUUACUUGUAUCUCCCACUUGACUUCUACCCUUCCUUAAGUAAGACCACUCCACUUCCCUUAGUCUACCAGUUCUGCUCAGACUAAACCACAGGCAUUGGAGUUGAACUCAGGCUGUGCCAUUUAUCACCUGGCAGGUUCUUUCACUCCCCCGAGCCUUGUUCAGAAUUCCUCCCUGGGAGGAUGCUGCUGGCUCCUCCUCAUCCUUCCUGCUCUCCCUACCUUCACCUCCUUGGGGUGACCAGCCAUUGCAUUUCUCUCCCCGAUAAGGUACUCUCUAUCUCAUCACCCCAUUUAUUUCCUUUGAUUUGUUCAUUUAUUGACCUCCUACCAAGCACCAGGCACUGGAACACAACAUGAACAAAACAGACUAAAAUCUCUGCCUUGAGGAGCUGAUGUUUAAGAGGAAUCCAGCAACUAACACAUUAAUGCACGACAGAGAGAACAGCUCACCCUCAAAUGUCCAAAGAAAAUUCUGUCUUCUGUUCAGUAUAACAUAGAAGGAUGAAGAUUAAGAGCAUGAAGUUUGGAGUCAGAAAGACCCAGUUCUCUACUUUUUUUUUUUUUUUUUUUGGGACAGAAUCUCUCUCUGUUGCCCAGGCUGGAGUGCAGUCGCAUGAUCUUGGCUCACUGCAACCUCUGCCUCCUGAGUUCAAGGGAUUCUCCUGCCUUCAGCCUCCCGAGUAGCUGCGAUUACAGGCAUGCACCACCACACCUGGCUAAUUUUUGUAUUUUUAGUAGAGACAGGGUUUCACCAUGUUGGCCAGGCUGGUCUCGAAUUCUUGGCCUCAAGUGAUCCGCCUGCCUUGGCCUUCCAAAGUGCUGGGAUUACAGGCGUGAGCCACCACGCCUGGCCUAAUCUCUGCCAUUUAACAGCUACAUGAACACUAUCUCUCUGAGCCUAUUUCCUCAUGGGUAAAAUGGGGAUAUUCAAAUCUGUCUCACAGUGUUGUUAAGGAUUAGAUGAGAUCAUCAUACGUGAAAAUCAUUCCGUGUAGCUCUUCCCAGAUGUCAUGUGUUAAGCAGGUUUGAUGUAUAAUGAAACUAGGAAGGCACUACUGUCCUUUGCUGUCACCUUCCCUUCUUGCUUUUAUUCUUCCACGAAGCCACAAAACCAUUUGGCUAUUCUAGCCCACAAUAAUCUCUUCCUUUUCAGAAACUCUUAUUAUACUUAUAUGCUGAAAGUUUUAUGAUUAGCUUUUUCUGCCACUUCAUUUGAUCUCCUAUUUAUUUUGCAUUUUUGGUCUUGCUUUUUUUUUUUUUUUUUUUUGAGAUGGAGUUUCACUCUUGUUGCCCAGGCUGGCGUGCAGUGGCGCGAUCUCGGCUCACUGCAAUCUCUGCCUCCCAGGUUCAAGUGAUUCUCCUGCCUCAUUCUCCCCAAAUAGCUGGGACUACAGGCGCCUGCCACCACAUCUGGCUAAUUUUUUGUAUUUUUAGUAGAGCCAAGGUUUCACUAUGUUGGCCAGCCUGCUGGUCUUGAAUUCCUGACCUCGUGAUCCACCCACCUCAGCCUCCCAAAGUGCUGGGAUUACAAGCGUGAGCCACUGCGCCUGGCCUGGUCUUGCUUUCUUAACUAGAUCAUAAACUUCUCCAGUCAAAGGGUCAUCUUUUGUGUUCUACUUGUAUCUACUUCCUGUAUCCUAACUACCUAUCCCAGGAUCAGGAAAUGAGGAAGCUCUUGGUGAUCGACUGACCUUGCCACCUGGAAGGUAAAACCUGACUGUCAGAUGGGAAAAGUAGGUACAGGGAACUCGGGUCCAAAAGCUUUGGGAAAGGUGGUGGCAGGGAGGAAUGCAGAAACAAAGUGGGGGGUGGUUGAUCCAUGAGCUCUGGCUCCCCAUUUAAACUCGCAGUCCUGUUGAGCUGCCUUUACCUCUGUCUUUCCCAUUCUGCAUCUUCUCUUCUUCUUCCUCUGCACCUUCCUCUGCUGUGAAAACAAGUCCAAGGAGGCCAGUGACCCUUCAGCACAGGACAAGUACAGAAGGAGGGUGAACAAAGCAACUGCUGAGGCUUGGGAGGAAACUCUAGCUAACAGCUCCUGGCUGCAGGCCUCUGAGGGUGCUUCAGCUCACCAGUCUGCACUUGUGUGGCCCAUGCCCCAGCACUGCUGAAUAGGAGCCCAUAAGCCCACAGCCCAAAAGGAGCACUGCAGUCACAUCGCUCACUUUCCUGACCAGGGCCGGGGGCGUGCGGUGUAGGGUUGCGUGCCUCUGUUCUAUGCCUGUCUGCCCUCAGGUGGUGACGACCAGGGAAACAUCUAAUGUCUUGCAUUCAGGUUUAAGAAAGUGACCAUACAAUAUAUGGUGGGGGAAUACCUAGAUUAACACGGGGUUCUGUUAAAAAAAAAAUCUGUAUGUUUUAGCUGAUGAUAAACUUAAAAUGACCGCACAGUGCAAAGUGGCCAUGUGGGAAGCGCUAAUGCUGUCUAAGGUGCUUUUCCAGGGGCCACUCAAGAGGGUCACAGAUGCCUUGUGCUCUGCAGGGACAAGAUCCCCUGUGAUGGAGAGCAGGGUGAUGGGCCCUGGGCAUGUACUUCGAAUAGGAGCCUUGGAAAAUGGCCACAUCCUGGUAUGGUCAAGCGGGCUGGUAAGAGAAAACCAUGUCACGUUUGGAAAGGUUGAAGGAAUUGGGUGUAGCAGUCUACAGAGGAGAAAACUAGGAAGGGUUGUCAUUUGCCAUCCAACCCGUGAAAGGCGAGCCUGCAGAGGAGGGACUGAGCUUAUCCUGGUUAGCUUUAGAGGACAGGGAUAAAUCAGUUACAGAAAGUUAGAUUUUGGCUCUCCACUGAGGAAGAAAUUUCCAGUGAUUAGAGUUGAUCAUGAAUGAGCUCGCUGGAAAUAUUCAGAGGACUGUUUUAUUGGGUGGCAAGUUGGAUUAAAUGACUUCUAACAUCCAUUACAAUUUUUUUCUUUUCUUUUUUUUUUUUUUUUUGAGAUGGAGUUUUGUUCUUGUUGCCCAGGCUGGACUACAGCGGCGCAAUCUCGGCUCACUGCAACCUCUGCAUCCCAGGUUCAAGCGAUUCUCCUGCCUCAGCCUCCCGAGUAGCUGGGAUUACAGGCAUGCACCACCAUGCCAGGCUAAUUUUGUAUUUUUAGUAGAGAUGGGGUUUCACCAUGUUGGUCAGGCUGGUCUCGAACUCCUGACCUUAGGUGAUCCACCUGCCUCAGCCUCCCAAAGUGCUGGGAUUACAGGUGUGAGCCACUGUGCCUGGCCUCGAUCCUUUCCAAUUCUAGGAUCUGAUUAUCUGUGAAAAAACUUUAUAAAGAUGAGGAGUACAAGCUAUGUAUAUACAGUAUGUAUACACUGUAUAGAAUAUAUGUAAAGAUAAUCUGAGUAUGUCCUUUCAUUGGAACAAAAACCUGUCAAGUCACUGUCAAGGAGACAGUAAAAACGUGUUGGUGAUGGGCGAAGCUAUUCUAUUCAUGGAGAAAUUGGCACCCUCACAUGUAAAGGGAGUUUAUGUCUGCAUGUUAGAGGGAUACCGUGCCAUGUGUGGCUUUGGUCCACGUCUACCUACAGGCUUCAGUGACUGAGAGGACAGCAUCAGGGAAAGGGGCCUCUGGGACUCUGGGUUUGAUAUCUUGUCCUGGAGGGGAGUACAAUCUCUGGCUUAAUGCUCUGAAGACCCAAGUUCUAGGACCAGCUUUCCCCCUUCAAGCUGCACGACCUUAGGCAGACCACUUUUCUGACAAGCACAUGCUACAUUUCUAAAGUAAGGGACUGGACAAUGUGCUCUCUAAGGCACCUUCCAAAUUACACUACAUAAUUUUAUUGAAACCAUCCUUUCCUACUAUGAGACACUGCUGAGGAUUCCUAUAAACUUUACAUUUUUGUGAAGCUAUUUGGUCUCUAUGUGCUUUCUGCUUAAUGGUAUUUAAUGACCUCUCACCCUAGCACGAUGAAUGCAGAAGCCACUUAUUUUGCAUAAACUCUAAUAAGUGGCCAUGAAGUACAAGUGUAGUUAAUUCCCAUGGCCCGAAAUUCCCUGAGAAAUUUCCUCUAAAAGUGGGAUUUCUGACAUCUGUGGGGAGCUGUAUUAGGGGAGCUGUAUUAGGGAAAGUGCCUUCUAAUCUACCUGUGAGGUCAUCCUGAAGGCUGUCACCUCUUCUGUUUAUGUGUACAGAGCGGGGCCGUGCUUCUGAUGGGGGUUGAGAAACAGUGCUAGAAUGGAGAGGGUGGCACCAUCAAACAAGAGAGGCAGCGUCUGACCUUAACUGACUGGAAAGACCAGGCUGGGCUAUACACUCACUUUGGUCUGUAUGAAAACAGGCAGACUUGAGAGCAGAGCUGGGGGCUCUGUCCAGUCCCAUGACAACCCUAAACAUGUGAGCUUUCUCCUACGAAGGGCUGAAAAAUACCCAAGGCUUGCCUUCCCUAAGAGUGUUUGAAUAAGUUUAUGUGUUUGAAUGGUCCGUGGAAAAACUGCUUUAUCUUUUUAUUUAAUAAUCCUGUUAAGCUACUUCAAGGUAUUUAAAAGCACUACAUGAGGUGGAAAGAAACAAAGGAGAGCCAUCAGUGUGAGUGACCUAUAGUGCUUAGGAAGGGAAACCAUUAGUUUAACAAAAAACAUGGAGACCCCACUGCUGUGAAAUCAUUAGUGACUCUCUGGACCCUACGUAACUGGCAGAGUCAUGGGGAUUCCUGGAGAUAGGAGGAUACGUGAAUGGCCUUUUAUUUUCUCUCUUUCCUGGGUUUUAUGUAAGGUGAAAUGUCACGAGGUAAAGGUCUUUGGGAAGUCACUGAAUUGGUGAGGUGAUGGAGAGACCGAGAAAGAAGUCACAGAUGAGCUGAACACAAGGAGCAGAAGAGGCGACAGACUCAGGUCAUGAACUUCAGGUGAAAUCAGAGCCUGGUCACGGACAAAAGGAGGGAAUAGGUUUCAAAACCAAGUCAAACAGGAGAGAGCAGAAAGGCAGCAGGGGAAAGUCCAGAGCUUUCCUGGCUGAUUCGGCUCCAGAUCUCUAGGGAAGUUUCAGAAUGAGGUGGUCGGUCAGGCCUAGGGAGAGAGUGGCUGUGGACGAAGUACAGAUGGAAGACGAGGUAAGUGAGAAAGGGGCCUGCCUGCACUCAAAGGUCUGAAUUUCUCUACAUUCAGCUUGCUCCACAAGAUGCACUCCUGAGAUAGGCCUGAAUGUGAAACCGCCCCUACGCGAUCCUGUGUGACAGAGGCUCUCUGAGUGGAGACAUCCAGUGUGUUCCUAGAAGGCAAAGUUAGGUGAUGAAAUGGGGUGGUGCGAGCUGGGUGGUGAGGUUCUGCCAGCGCUGGCGAGGAAGUGAGAAGGGCGCGGGCAAGGCAGGGGAGGCCAGGAAGCUGGCUGGGAGCUCUGGGUUUCACCUGAAUGGAGCUCCUUCACCAGGGAUGACAUGGUGUUGGUGAUGGAGUCAGCUGCCACCAGCAGGUCAUUGCGGAGGUUUCUCCUCGUACCUGAGGAGAGGCAGAGCAGAUGGGGAUGCCAGGGUGGGUGAGCAUGGAGAAGAGACGGCUGAGCAAAAGCCUCAGUUCUGCCAGGCCCGAGGACACAGGUGUGGAAUACCUAAGGGGAGAUGGGGCCACAGCAGCUCCACCCAUUCCCAGGCACACCGGGGGCAGGAGGCACCAGCCCACUGGUCUCUCUCCCUCUGCCCUCUCUACCUAGGGAGCAGCAUCCUGUCAAUUCCACGCUUUGCUGCCACCACACAAUCCAGAGCUGGGUUCCAGAAUAAGCAUUCCACCGAGGUCUUCCUCAGCCUUGUGGGGGUGGGGCUCUACUCUCCACAACCACCGCCACCGCCACCACCACCACCUCCCCUUCUCACCUCCAGCCCCAGCAGGACUUCCCUCUGAAUCCCCACCCAACUACUUAAUACUGCUGGUCACCAGCUCCUCCGAUGACUGUGGCAAUGGCAUGCACACUGUGCUUUCAGCACGGUCCCAGUUACAGUGCCUGUUACAGUCCCUUCUAGGCCAGGGAAUUAUUCCAUCCAAUUCCUCUGGAGGAGACAAAGCCCAAGGGACAAAGCACUUUCAAUAAUCCAGAAAAAAGGGCAGAGAACCCCAGGAGGCCUGUUCUUGGCACACAUAGGAAGCCUGCAGCCUUCCCGCUGGAGACCAGCCCGUCUCAUGAGAAGGGGCCAGCACCUGACUUAUUUACACUGUCAACAUCUGAUCAUUCCAAGCUAAGAGCACAAAACAGAAAUGGAAAAAACCUCAGCAGGAAUCUUGUCCGUGUUUGCAGAUCCCUUCAGCUCCCCGUCGAACACUGCUCCAGAAACUCACCUUGUGCGAAGGCCUCCUGCACGUCUCCCCCGACUCCGCUCAGCGAGUCCUGCGGACAGUGGGUGGGGGUGGAGCCGGCAGACGUGGAGCGCACUGGCAUGGGCAUCGGCCGGCCGCCUCCAUGGGUGGGCGAUGUAUGUGGUGACCCUGUGGCCUGAGCCUGGAGAUUCAAAGAGAGAAAAUACGUUAUCUCAAGUACCUGACCUCUUUGAGGAAGGAAGAAAGUACUUUUUCUCCAUCAACCAGAGCCAGCCAGCGGGCCUCAGUUCAGUGGUACAAGAUCAUACUUGAAAGGAAGGAGUCAGGCUGCUUCCAAGACUGGAGAGAGGAAGAAAAGGAAAAAAGGAAGGGGGCGUGCAGGGCAGAGAGAGAGAACAUCAUAAGAACAAGACCAAGAAUGGGAGGGAAAGAAGAGGCUGGCACAGAGUAGUGGAGGACUCUCAGGAAGACAGAGUGAGCUGCGUAGCUGGGCCAGGGUUCUAGAAGGGCUUGGCUUGCAGGGCAGGAAGUAACAUGCAAACAGCUUUCAUUUUGUUUGCAAACACAUUCAUGUACAUGUUCUCAUUUAGACCCCUCCCCGCCACCCGCUGCCAGCAACCUGUGAGUGGAAAGGACAUACGUGUGUGUGUAUGUAUGUGUGUGUGUGUAUGUGUGUAUGUAUGUAUAUAUUUAUAUAUGUAUAUAUAUCUUUUUUGGAGACAGAGUCUUGCUUUGUUGCCCAGGUGGAGUGCAGUGGUGCGAUCUCAGCUCACUGUAACCUCCACCUCCCAGGUUCAAGAGAUUCUCCUGCUUUAGCCUCCUGAGUAGCUGGAACUACAGGCAUGCUCCACCACACUGGGCUAAUUUUUUGUAUUUUUAGUAGACACGGGGUUUCAACAUGUUGCCCAGGUUGGUCUUUAACUCCUGAGCUCAGGCAAUCUGCUCGCCUUCGCCUCCCAAAGUGCUAGGAUUACAGGUGUGAGCCACCACACCAAGCCAGGGUGUAUAUUUUUAUAUCCAUUUUAUAAAAGAAGAAGAAUGGAAAGAGAGCGUUGUGUCAGGCCACACAGCUUGCCAGUGGGAGGCACGGGAACAACCCCUUGACUCCAAGGGUGGCAGUGUGCACUCUGCAGGCUGCGACCUCACUCCCCCUAAGGGCAUGCUCUGAGCAUGUGGGGAGCUCGGCUGCAGGCUGCAAGCGGGGCCAUGGGGCCAGUCACGCCACAUGCACUGCACAUACACAGCAAGGCUGUCCAGGGCCGCCCUGCAGGGACGAGGUAAGAAAGGACACAUGGUAAACAGAAACCAAACUUUCCUUGGGAGGCCCUGGUAUAGUUGUGGAGAAAGUUUGGAGCAAUGGGAUAAAAUAAAUAAAAGGAGAAAACUAAUCAAGGGCCGCUCACUGAGAUGUGGGCUCUGUAGCUCUUCAGCACAACAGGAACUGAGUGUGGCAGGUGGACUAGGGUUUCCUGUGGAAGCAAAACUGGAAAAAAUAUAAGCCAAAGUGUGAGAGUGAAUUCAAAUGAAGAUAGUUAUCCUUCUGGGGAUCUAGCUCAGAAACCCCAUAUACAAACAGAAUUGGCCCCGAACAGGUAGACAGGCUGGAUGCACGACACCCCACUGCAGUGCUUCAACCGUGUGGCCACCAAACUCAACAGAAAUGGAUUGUUUUCUGUGGUUCUUACUUUGAAUCAUUUGUGUGUGUGUGUGUGUGUGUAUGUGUGUGUAUUUUGAGAAGUUAAAAAAAAAUACAGAAAACUAAAAAGUACAACAUAAUUAACCACCCCAAAUUGGUAACUUCAUAUUGUGUCAAAUGUAUUUCAAUCUAAAGAUAUUGCAGAAAAAUCUGAAGACUGCUUUGACCACCAGUUAUUUCCUGUUCCAGUUCUUUCCUCUCCUCCCUUCAGAGGCAACCCCUAUCAAAAUUUUGCUGUGAAACUUUUAACCUAUAUGUGCAUAUAUAGCUAUGAAUAAUAAAUGGUAUUUCAUGCUUUUAAA